GAGGAUAGAGCUCAGUGGUAGAGCACAUGCUUCAGCAUGUAUGAAGUCCUGGGUUCAAUCCCCAAUACUGCCA
This 73-nucleotide transfer RNA is filed under the name Camelus bactrianus (Bactrian camel). It matches the Rfam family "tRNA". From Rfam's summary of the family: Transfer RNA (tRNA) molecules are approximately 80 nucleotides in length. Lineage: Eukaryota; Metazoa; Chordata; Mammalia; Artiodactyla; Camelidae. RNAcentral also lists the same sequence under 3 other names. The record is from Rfam by way of RNAcentral.